RNAcentral lists this ribosomal RNA (253 nucleotides) under uncultured bacterium. RNAcentral describes it as "partial 16S ribosomal RNA". It matches the Rfam family "Bacterial small subunit ribosomal RNA", at positions 524 to 776 of the family's 1533-position model. The record is from RNAcentral.
UACGAAGGUGGCAAGCGUUACUCGGAUUUACUAGGCGUAAAGGGCAGGUAGGUGGUUUGAUAAGUCUGUUGUGUAAGCUCCCGGCUUAACUGGGAGAGGUCAACGGAAACUGUCAGGCUUGAGUAUGGGAGAGGAUACUGGAAUUCCCGGUGUAGCGGUGAAAUGCGCAGAUAUCGGGAGGAACACCAAUGGCGAAAGCAGGUAUCUGGACCAUUACUGACACUCAGCUGCGAAAGCUAGGGGAGCAAACAGG